RNAcentral lists this ribosomal RNA (434 nucleotides) under uncultured Lachnospiraceae bacterium. RNAcentral's name for it is "partial 16S ribosomal RNA". It matches the Rfam family "Bacterial small subunit ribosomal RNA", at positions 341 to 792 of the family's 1533-position model. Lineage: Bacteria; Bacillati; Bacillota; Clostridia; Lachnospirales; Lachnospiraceae. The record is from RNAcentral.
ACGGAAGGCAGCAGUGGGGAAUAUUGCACAAUGGGGGAAACCCUGAUGCAGCGACGCCGCGUGAGCGAUGAAGUAUUUCGGUAUGUAAAGCUCUAUCAGCAGGGAAGAUAAUGACGGUACCUGACUAAGAAGCCCCGGCUAACUACGUGCCAGCAGCCGCGGUAAUACGUAGGGGGCAAGCGUUAUCCGGAUUUACUGGGUGUAAAGGGAGCGCAGGCGGUUUUUUAAGUCUGAUGUGAAAGCCCGUGGCUCAACUGCGGGACUGCAUUGGAAACUGGAGAACUAGAGUGUCGGAGGGGCAAGUGGAAUUCCUAGUGUAGCGGUGAAAUGCGUAGAUAUUAGGAGGAACACCAGUGGCGAAGGCGGCUUGCUGGGCGAUAACUGACGCUGAGGCUCGAAAGCGUGGGGAGCAAACAGGAUUAGAUACCCUGGUA